GGUGAACGCUGGCGGCGUGCCUAAUACAUGCAAGUCGAGCGAACAGACGAGGAGCUUGCUCCUCUGACGUUAGCGGCGGACGGGUGAGUAACACGUGGAUAACCUACCUAUAAGACUGGGAUAACUUCGGGAAACCGGAGCUAAUACCGGAUAAUAUAUUGAACCGCAUGGUUCAAUAGUGAAAGACGGUUUUGCUGUCACUUAUAGAUGGAUCCGCGCCGCAUUAGCUAGUUGGUAAGGUAACGGCUUACCAAGGCAACGAUGCGUAGCCGACCUGAGAGGCUGAUCGGCCACACUGGAACUGAGACACGGUCCAGACUCCUACGGGAGGCAGCAGUAGGGAAUCUUCCGCAAUGGGCGAAAGCCUGACGGAGCAACGCCGCGUGAGUGAUGAAGGUCUUCGGAUCGUAAAACUCUGUUAUUAGGGAAGAACAAAUGUGUAAGUAACUAUGCACGUCUUGACGGUACCUAAUCAGAAAGCCACGGCUAACUACGUG
RNAcentral lists this ribosomal RNA (497 nucleotides) under uncultured bacterium. RNAcentral's name for it is "partial 16S ribosomal RNA". It matches the Rfam family "Bacterial small subunit ribosomal RNA", at positions 28 to 507 of the family's 1533-position model. The record is from RNAcentral.